RNAcentral lists this long non-coding RNA (398 nucleotides) under Mus caroli (Ryukyu mouse). Its description in RNAcentral is "lncRNA (MGP_CAROLIEiJ_G0003127.1)". The record is from RNAcentral. Lineage: Eukaryota; Metazoa; Chordata; Mammalia; Rodentia; Muridae.
AGUUUUGCAAAGUUCGACACACAGACCAGUGAACCUUAAGCGCCCUUGUGCGGACACACAUUGUAGAGAUUUGUCACGAACUCUCGGCAGCGAUUAUAAUGACAGUAUGGACAAUUCUGAAAGCUCUGGGCAACAGCACACUUAAGGGAAAAUGAGGAGCUUAGUAGAUUGGAGAAAAUUAACCUGCCACAAACAACCUCAUUAAAGAACUGCCUACCAAGAGUUAAGAAUUAAUAGCAAAAUGGAUGGGAAAAAAAAAAAAAAAAAACCCUUGAGUGAAGAGACCUUCAACCCCCUUUCCUGAAAGGUUUCUAAUGAAGAGACUGUGUGUGUCACCGCUCAUAAGAGAGAAAAAAGAGGGAGGGAAGGAGAGAGCUCUUUAAACAAAAGACAAGGAG